Molecule: long non-coding RNA, 217 nt
Filed under: Panax ginseng (ginseng)
Lineage: Eukaryota; Viridiplantae; Streptophyta; Magnoliopsida; Apiales; Araliaceae
Description: long non-coding RNA (PGIN_LNC011601)
Source: RNAcentral
CGCAGAGACCUUAUAUUUGUACCUUGCAGCAAGUUUGUUGGCAGUUGGAGCAGUCUUGGUUCGGGAGGUCAGUGGGAAGCAGCAUCCGGUCUAUUAUGUCAGUCACGUCCUACGAGAUGCUGAAACCAGGUACCCGAAUAUUGAAAAUUUUGCUUUUGCUUUGAUAAUUGCUAGUAGAAAGCUUCGGCAAUAUUUUCACGGUCGGCUCCUGGUCGUC